RNAcentral lists this transfer RNA (75 nucleotides) under Atopobiaceae bacterium. RNAcentral describes it as "tRNA-Glu". It matches the Rfam family "tRNA". Rfam says of the family: Transfer RNA (tRNA) molecules are approximately 80 nucleotides in length. Their secondary structure includes four short double-helical elements and three loops (D, anti-codon, and T loops). Lineage: Bacteria; Bacillati; Actinomycetota; Coriobacteriia; Coriobacteriales; Atopobiaceae. The record is from RNAcentral.
GUCCCCAUCGUCUAUCGGCUAGGACGUAACCCUUUCAAGGUUAAGAGGCGGGUUCGACUCCCGCUGGGGGCACCA